CCUACGGGAGUCAGCAGUGGGGAAUAUUGCACAAUGGGGGAAACCCUGAUGCAGCGACGCCGCGUGAGUGAAGAAGUAUUUCGGUAUGUAAAGCUCUAUCAGCAGGGAAGAAAUAGCGACCUUUAGGUCGCCAGACGGUACCUGAUUAAGAAGCCCCGGCUAACUACGUGCCAGCAGCCGCGGUAAUACGUAGGGGGCAAGCUUGCUCCGGAUUUACUGGGUGUAAAGGGCGCGUAGACGGCAGCGCAAGUCUGAAGUGAAAUGCCGGGGCUUAACCCCGGAACUGCUUUGGAAACUGUGCAGCUAGAGUGCAGGAGAGGUAAGUGGAAUUCCUAGGGUAGCGGUGAAAUGCGUAGAGAUUAGGAGGAACACCAGUGGCGAAGGCGGCUUACUGGACUGUAACUGACGUUGAGGCUCGAAAGCGUGGGGAGCAAACAGGAUUAGAUACCCUGGUAGUC
RNAcentral lists this ribosomal RNA (458 nucleotides) under uncultured bacterium. RNAcentral describes it as "partial 16S ribosomal RNA". It matches the Rfam family "Bacterial small subunit ribosomal RNA", at positions 338 to 795 of the family's 1533-position model. The record is from RNAcentral.